Molecule: ribosomal RNA, 731 nt
Filed under: uncultured bacterium
Lineage: Bacteria
Description: bacterial SSU rRNA
Rfam family: Bacterial small subunit ribosomal RNA
Source: RNAcentral
AGAGUUUGAUCAUGGCUCAGGACGAACGCUGGCGGCGUGCCUAAUACAUGCAAGUCGAGCGAGGUUGUUUGGGAUGCUUGCAUUUCAAACAACCUAGCGGCGGACGGGUGAGUAACACGUGGGCAACCUGCCCUGUAGACUGGGAUAACUUCGGGAAACCGGAGCUAAUACCGGAUAACUCUUUUAGCCUCAUGGCUUUAAGCUAAAAGGCGCUUCGGCGUCACUACAGGAUGGGCCCGCGGUGCAUUAGCUAGUUGGUAGGGUAACGGCCUACCAAGGCAACGAUGCAUAGCCGACCUGAGAGGGUGAUCGGCCACAUUGGGACUGAGACACGGCCCAAACUCCUACGGGAGGCAGCAGUAGGGAAUCUUCCACAAUGGACGAAAGUCUGAUGGGGCAACGCCGCGUGAGUGAUGAAGGUUUUCGGAUCGUAAAACUCUGUUGUAAGGGAAGAACAAGUGCGUUAGGUAAUGAACGCGCCUUGACGGUACCUUAUUAGAAAGCCACGGCUAACUACGUGCCAGCAGCCGCGGUAAUACGUAGGUGGCAAGCGUUGUCCGGAUUUAUUGGGCGUAAAGCGCGCGCAGGUGGUUUCUUAAGUCUGAUGUGAAAGCCCACGGCUCAACCCGUGGAGGGUCAUUGGAAACUGGGGAACUUGAGUGCAGAAGAGGAUAGUGGAAUUCCCAGUGUAGCGGUGAAAUGCGUAGAGAUUUGGAGGAACACCAGUGGCG